This 253-nucleotide ribosomal RNA is filed under the name uncultured bacterium. RNAcentral describes it as "partial 16S ribosomal RNA". It matches the Rfam family "Bacterial small subunit ribosomal RNA", at positions 524 to 776 of the family's 1533-position model. The record is from RNAcentral.
UACGGAGGACCCGAGCGUUAUCCGGAUUUAUUGGGUUUAAAGGGUGCGUAGGCGGUUUGAUAAGUUUGAGGUGAAAUGUCGGGGCUCAACCCCGAAACUGCCUCUAAUACUGUUGGACUAGAGAAUAGUUGCGGUAGGCGGAAUGUAUGGUGUAGCGGUGAAAUGCUUAGAGAUCAUACAGAACACCGAUUGCGAAGGCAGCUUACCAAACUAUAUCUGACGUUGAGGCACGAAAGCGUGGGUAGCAAACAGG